GCCGGGCAUGGUGGCGCAUGCCUGUAAUCCCAGCUACUCAGGAGGCUGAGGCAGGAGAAUUGCUUGAACCCAGGAGGCAGAGGUUGCAGUGAGCUGAGAUCGUGCCACUGCCCUCCAGCCUGGGUGACAGAGCAAGACUCCAUCUCAA
RNAcentral lists this non-coding RNA (148 nucleotides) under Pan troglodytes (chimpanzee). The record is from Rfam by way of RNAcentral. Lineage: Eukaryota; Metazoa; Chordata; Mammalia; Primates; Hominidae.